Molecule: ribosomal RNA, 690 nt
Filed under: uncultured bacterium
Lineage: Bacteria
Description: bacterial SSU rRNA
Rfam family: Bacterial small subunit ribosomal RNA
Source: RNAcentral
AACGCUAGCUACAGGCUUAACACAUGCAAGUCGAGGGGCAGCAUAAAAGUAGCAAUACUUUGGUGGCGACCGGCGCACGGGUGAGUAACACGUAUCCAACCUGCCGAUAACUCCGGAAUAGCCUUUCGAAAGAAAGAUUAAUACCGGAUGGCAUAAUUAUUCCGCAUGGGAUAAUUAUUAAAGAAUUUCGGUUGUCGAUGGGGAUGCGUUCCAUUAGGCAGUUGGCGGGGUAACGGCCCACCAAACCUACGAUGGAUAGGGGUUCUGAGAGGAAGGUCCCCCACAUUGGAACUGAGACACGGUCCAAACUCCUACGGGAGGCAGCAGUGAGGAAUAUUGGUCAAUGGACGAGAGUCUGAACCAGCCAAGUAGCGUGAAGGAUGACUGCCCUAUGGGUUGUAAACUUCUUUUAUACGGGAAUAAAGUGAGCCACGUGUGGCUUUUUGUAUGUACCGUAUGAAUAAGGAUCGGCUAACUCCGUGCCAGCAGCCGCGGUAAUACGGAGGAUCCGAGCGUUAUCCGGAUUUAUUGGGUUUAAAGGGAGCGUAGGCGGGUUGUUAAGUCAGUUGUGAAAGUUUGCGGCUCAACCGUAAAAUUGCAGUUGAUACUGGCGACCUUGAGUGCAACAGAGGUAGGCGGAAUUCGUGGUGUAGCGGUGAAAUGCUUAGAUAUCACGAAGAACUCCGAUUG